This 274-nucleotide ribosomal RNA is filed under the name uncultured bacterium. RNAcentral describes it as "partial 16S ribosomal RNA". It matches the Rfam family "Bacterial small subunit ribosomal RNA", at positions 523 to 796 of the family's 1533-position model. The record is from RNAcentral.
AUUCAGAGGGUGCGAGCGUUAAUCGGAAUUACUGGGCGUAAAGCGCGCGUAGGCGGCUUAUUAAGUCAGAUGUGAAAUCCCCGGGCUCAACCUGGGAACUGCAUCUGAUACUGGUAAGCUAGAGUUUUGGAGAGGGAAGUAGAAUUUCAGGUGUAGCGGUGAAAUGCAUAGAGAUCUGAAGGAAUACCAGUGGCGAAGGCGACUUCCUGGCCAAAAACUGACGCUGAGGUGCGAAAGCGUGGGUAGCAAACGGGAUUAGAAACCCUAGUAGUCC